UACAUAGGGUGCUAGCGUUGCUCGGAAUUACUGGGCGUAAAGAACAUGUAGGAGGACCUAAAAGUCAGAAGUGUAAUUCCUAGGCUCAACCUAGGCGCUGCUUUUGAUACUCUAGGUCUGGAGUGAGGUAGAGGAUAGCGGAAUUCUUAGUGUAGGGGUAAAAUCCGUAGAUAUUAAGAAGAACACCGAAAGCGAAGGCAGCUAUCUGGGCCUUUACUGACUCUGAGAUGUGAAAGCGUGGGGAGCAAACAGG
RNAcentral lists this unclassified non-coding RNA (253 nucleotides) under uncultured Rickettsiales bacterium. Its description in RNAcentral is "contains 16S-23S intergenic spacer region". It matches the Rfam family "Bacterial small subunit ribosomal RNA", at positions 524 to 776 of the family's 1533-position model. Lineage: Bacteria; Pseudomonadati; Pseudomonadota; Alphaproteobacteria; Rickettsiales. The record is from RNAcentral.